AGCAUAAAAUGGCUUUUUCUAAUGAAAACUUCAACUUGUUUGAGUAUAAAUCAUUUUAAUAUUUCACAAAAGUGCCUUUUUUUUGCAUAAAACUUUAAAACCUUUUAACACAGACCCCAGCAGGAAUGUUCAAGAAGCUUCAGGGAGAGCCUUUGAAGAUGAAACAACUGCAUUCCAAGUCCCAGUCUCCCUCCCUGGAGACAUGCUUUCCAAAAGGCUACAGCCACAGCACAAAGCCAACCUUGACAUUUGCAUAAAUCCAUCAGUGUCACCACGACAGCGCCGACUCCUAGGUCGCCAUCCGCCGUUAAAUUUAGAAAAAAACCAAAACUAGGCAGGAAUGGUGAAAAAAAACACAGCAAAGGUUGUAAAGGUUUUGCAUUGCUAUGCUGCAGUCAGAUGAUUACAUUGACAGGUCUCAGGUGAGCGCUUUUCAGGCACAAGCUAUACAAAAAACAGCCAUGGCUUUUGUUAUUGCCUGGAGUUUUACAACAUGACAUGUAAGUGUGCGUGAGAUUGUUUAUGUGUGUGAGAGAGUGCUGCUUGAAGGAGGAGGCAGUGCAUAUGAAUUCGUCUGUCCAAGAUUCACGAGUAAAUGCUGUGGACAAGGCCACUGGCCUCACCUGGCAGUCGAUUGUCGUAAUUUCACCGAUGUCACUUU
Long non-coding RNA from Cyprinus carpio (common carp), 661 nucleotides. The record is from Ensembl. Lineage: Eukaryota; Metazoa; Chordata; Actinopteri; Cypriniformes; Cyprinidae.